GAAUUGAAUUUUGUUUGAUUUUUUCUUCUUUUGCUGCUGCUGAUUUAUAUAUAAUCAUAUUAAUGGUGAUGAUGAUUGCUGCUGUUUUCUGUUGGAGAGAAGAAAAAAAAAUCAUGAUUGACAAUGAUGAUCAUCAUGAUUAUAAUACCUGAAGAUGGUGGGUUUCAAUUCAUUGAUUUUCAAGAAAAUUAUGGAAAUACAUCCUGUGAUUACCUGGCUAAUUACUGACAAGUUAAUGGUCUUUAUCAUUCUUGGUGAUAAUAAACUGGACACAAGUAGAUAAAUUUGUCUUCUGUUGUUACCAUUGAUUGUCCUGUUAAUCUGUUUCUCAAUCCUAAUCUCAUUUCAAUGGAUUUCAUGUCUAUUUUUCCCUCUCAACAAAUUAAACGUUCCCAAAAUCACUGAUAAUUAAUCAAUGUCAUCAGUUUGAUGGAUAAGAUUUACAUGAUUUACUUAACAAUAACGAUAACCAUUUUCUGUUGUAAUUGGAUUGGAUACUCUAAUUAGUUAAGCUACAGCAAACAUAAUGCAUAAAGAACCAGAAAGGAUUUCUGAUUAGAUUGUUAUUGUUAUUGACCAGUUACAUUUGACUUUUCAAUUUAAAACCACAAUUUGAUUAAUUUUAAAUGAGGAAUAUCCAUACAUCUAAUUGGAAACACGAUCCACUAAUUGUAUUGAUUAUUACUUAAAGUCCAACAGAGAGAGAGAGAGAGAGAGAGAGAGAGAACCUGGAAACCCUACAUGGACCAUUCACUGUAUACGGUGACCACUGACCGAUUGAGACAAUUAUCUACAGUAUAGCAAUGAAUUGCAAGAGGCCAAAGUAAAUUUGCUUUUCAAAUCUACGGAGAGAGAUUUCUCCAAUCAUCAAUAAAUGAUUGUCAUAACAAUCAUGACAAUUGUCUAUGAUUAACGGAACAUCAUCUUCAUCACCAACAUACAAUAACAUCAACAGCAUCAAUCCUGGUUCAAUGACAGUAUCCGCAUCAUCAUCAUCAUAUAUUUUUGAUAUAUAAUUGGCAAUUUUCAGUUUCAACCUGAAACCAGAUUAACAAGAAAGGCAAAAGAAAUGAGAGAGAGAGAGAGAGAGAUGAAAACGAACACACAGUGAAGAAACUAAGGGAGAUGAAGUGAGAGUGAGAAAGAAAAUCUCAAGAGAAUGAAAUCUUUACCAAAGAAAAUGGUAAAACCUGAAAAAAGGCAACAACUACAGCUAACAACAUGUCUUCAUUAUCUUUUCUAUGGAUUAAUAUCUAUCCACGCCAAAGAAAAAAGUUCCAAGAAAAAGAUGAACAUCAUCAUCAUCGUGAUCAUCUCAUCAAGACCACAAAGGAAAAAAAACUGAAUUACCUGAAUGAUUCCUGGUGAUUCUGGUGUAUUCAUAUACAUGUGUGUGUGUAUAUAUAUAUGAUGAUGAUGAUUAUGCUAUUAUUAUGAGUGUGAAUUGAACUUUUAAAAAGUAAUCAAGAAGAUGAUGAUUAUGAUGAAGAUAAACCAUGAAAAGUUAAGUAUAAUUUGUAAUUUUCAUGGUCACACACACACAAUCAUCUUUAAUCAUUUCAAUGUUAAAACAAUAAUUAGUGGACUAAAAGCUGCAGUUUCAAGCAAUCAAUUGAAACGUUAAUUGACCAUAAACUUAUUUACUGGUCAAAGUUCUGGAUGUUUUUGUUUUCUCUCAUUCUCCUAAUGUAUAUACGAUAUGGAUAAAAAUGAAAAGCCCAACUUGGAAUACGAUCUUUAUCAUGAUCGGUAAUUUAUCAAAUGCAUUUAAUAGCAUCAUGUAUUAUUUGCUGUUGUAAUUAGUACAAACAAUAAGUAAUUCAAAUUAACCAUAAUAACAACAAUGAUCAUGAUCAUUGUUGAUAAUGAUUAAUAUAAUUAGACUCUUACAAAUCGUUUUCAUCAAGAAGAUCUUGAUCUUGGCUGUAAUUAUAAUAAUCGCAAUUGAGUUGGAAAUCCUUGAUGGUCAAUCAUCAAUCUUGACCAGGUCAGUGUCCAACAACUUCCGGCUUCAAGGUUUAAAUGAAGAAGUGGUAAUUGAAAUGAAUGUUCCCUUUCAUAUCAUCAUGAUGUUCAUCCUCAUGAUAAUUCAUUCCAUUCAAUAAUUACAACCAAUUAAUCAACCCCCUCCCUCCCUCUCUCACUGUCUCCCUGAAAAAAAGUAUCAAAACAAAUAUGAGAAAGUUUUGUUUUUCAAAGGAAAUGAUUAUAUUGCUUGCAAAAUAAUGAAGACAUUGAACACGCAUUGAAAAGCAACACUCACUGAUUAUCGUGGUGUAAAUAAAUGAUAAUAUUGGCAAUAUGUUAUCCAAUUGAUAUUCAUAAAUCCUCUGGAUAAAUAUGGAAACCAUUGUGAAAACAAACCCAUCAAAGUGAUAAGGAUACUCGUAAAUAUUAUGGACGUUAUUUAUUACUAUUAUUUCAUCCAUUCAAUUAUUUACUUCACUAUUAUUAUUAUUGUCGUGAUUACCAUUUUCUUGGGUGUAUCUUCAUGAAAAGAUGACGAUGAUGAUGAUGAGAGGCCCACAGGUAACAAAGAGAGAGAGAGAGAGAGAGAUUACCACUCAUAAUGAUUAUCAUCUUUAAGCUGUGGAAAAAGUUGUUCUUUAGGUUGUAACUGCUGCCCAUAUGACUACGUGAGAUGAAGGUAGGCCAUUGGGAGGAGGGGUGGUAGAAAUGGUGGAAAAGGGAUGGAGGGAGGAUGAGCCUCACCCAACAAGCCAUCAGACAACGACCAUGAUGAUGAUAAUCAUCAUGAGCAUCAUCAUCGUGCCUUUCUUACCUUCUUUCUCCACAUUAACUUGAUUCUCUUAUUAUUACCUUCGUUUAAUGUUAGAAGCGUUUUUGAUUAAAAGGCCUUUUACCAAUA
Long non-coding RNA from Panonychus citri (citrus red mite), 2869 nucleotides. RefSeq lists it as uncharacterized. The transcript has 7 exons. Lineage: Eukaryota; Metazoa; Arthropoda; Arachnida; Trombidiformes; Tetranychidae. The record is from RefSeq and is a predicted model, not a curated record.